Molecule: ribosomal RNA, 439 nt
Filed under: uncultured bacterium
Lineage: Bacteria
Description: partial 16S ribosomal RNA
Rfam family: Bacterial small subunit ribosomal RNA
Source: RNAcentral
CUACGGGGGGCUGCAGUGAGGAAUAUUGCGCAAUGGGGGGAACCCUGAUGCAGCAACGCCGCGUGGAGGAUGACGCAUUUCGGUGUGUAAACUCCUUUUAUAUGUCAAGAAAAUGACGGUAGCAUAUGAAUAAGCACCGGCUAACUCCGUGCCAGCAGCCGCGGUAAUACGGAGGGUGCAAGCGUUACUCGGAAUCACUGGGCGUAAAGGACGCGUAGGCGGGUUGGAAAGUCAGGUGUGAAAUCCUACAGCUUAACUGUAGAACUGCACUUGAAACUUCUAAUCUAGAGUAUGGGAGGGGGAGAUGGAAUUAGUGGUGUAGGGGUAAAAUCCGUAGAUAUCACUAGGAAUACCUAAGGCGAAGGCGAUCUCCUGGAACAUUACUGACGCUAAGGCGUGAAAGCGUGGGGAGCAAACAGGAUUAGAUACCCCUGUAGUC